Molecule: unclassified non-coding RNA, 430 nt
Filed under: soil metagenome
Description: partial contains 5.8S ribosomal RNA, internal transcribed spacer 2, and large subunit ribosomal RNA
Rfam family: 5.8S ribosomal RNA (bases 1-120)
Source: RNAcentral
GAUGAAGAACGCAGCGAAAUGCGAUACGUAAUGUGAAUUGCAGAAUUCAGUGAAUCAUCGAAUCUUUGAACGCAUAUUGCGCUCUCUGGUAUUCCGGAGAGCAUGCUUGUUUGAGUAUCAGUAAACACCUCAACUCCCUUUUCUUUUUUGAAAUUGGAGCUGGACUUGAGUGAUCCCAACGCUUUCUUCCAAGAAAGUGGCGGGUUGCUUGAAAUGCAGGAGCAGCUGAACUUUUCUCUGAGCUAUAAGCAUAUCUAUUUAGUCUGCCUAAAAAACAGAUUAUUACCUUUGCUGCAGCUAACAUAAAGGAGACUAGUUCUUGUGCUGACUGAUGCAGGAUUCACAGAGACAGCUUCGGCUGACUUUGUAAACUCGAUCUCAAAUCAAGUAAGACUACCCGCUGAACUUAAGCAUAUCAAUAAGCGGAGGA